RNAcentral lists this non-coding RNA (1741 nucleotides) under Pongo abelii (Sumatran orangutan). Lineage: Eukaryota; Metazoa; Chordata; Mammalia; Primates; Hominidae. The record is from RNAcentral.
CUCUGAAGCGGGAUUCCACACUCCUGCACCCUAAGAUCCGCUAGACUCUCUGCCUUGUUUCAUCUUUCUUUUCCUAAAGAAUCAUGGGGAGAAUUGACCUCUCUGGGACUCAACUGUGGCUGGAAGGGGACAGGAGAAGCCCUUUCUGGAGGACAGCUGAGCCCUGCAGCUGCCAUCCUGCCUGGCAGGCUAGGGCUGGGCUGUGGGAAGGCCCCCCAGGAGGGAGGUCCGGCCACUGCACCCCGAGGAAAGGGCUGCUUCCGGCACUCUGUGUGGAGGUCCUGGCUUCUGCCGUCCCUGGAGGCUCCGUUCCCGUUUCGCCAGCUAUUUUGCUGCCUCGACCAUCUGUUCCCUCCCUGUCAUCUCCUCUCUGCUUUAACCUUAACCACUACUUCACUGCAGAUGGUACCAGGCAGUUCUGCUCUCGACAUCCUUCACGACGCCUGGCCCUCCUUCUCAUCUCCAGCAAGUGAACCGCUCUGUCCUUUUUAAAGCCUCAUCCCAAAGACAUGGCCAGAGCUUGGAGUUGGAUUCGCCCCACACAACUCCCCCUCCUUGAUGCCAUCUGCUUUCAACUCCACCACUGGCCAGGGGCAAACACCUACCCCUUCCCCUGCCUUUUCCUCCUGAGACUUCUCAAACUCGGCCAAGAACCUCUCCUGGCAUGGAGUGUGUGUCUGCUUCGAGUCUCUAUCUGGUCUCCAUCAACAGAGCCAUGUAACCGCCCAGAGGGCUCCUGGUCGGCAAGCUGAGGAGGAGGCCAGAAACUCCGAAGUUCACUCCUACUGUGGAGGAACGAGGGCUCGUGCUGGGAGUUUGGGUCAUGAACAGUUUCCCUGUAGAAAAUGGACCUGAACACUCUGCAGUAAGGAAUUCUUUCCCGUGCUGGCAUGGUGGGAACCGAACCAAAACACAUUUUCUAUGUUGUCUGAGCUCACAGGGAACAUCACUCUGCUGUCCUUGCUGUUAUUCUGGCUACUGGUGAGAAAAUGCAUGCAUGGGCUUUACUUAGCAACUCGCUCUGCCUCUCCUCUCUGUCAGGGUGCUCCCCUAAAAUCUCUCCUCUUGGCUUCUUUUUUCUGGCAUAAUGACCCGGAGCUGUGAGGAGCGCAGCAGCCCAGGAGCUCCUAAGGAGAGAAGCUGUUUUGGUGAGAUUGGUUCCACCAGGCUACAUGCCUUGACUGGGACAGAAAUGGGCUGGGAAGACCGAAAUUUGACUUCUGCACCUGGAUUUGGGCUAAAAAGUCUCACAGCUCAGCCUCCUUGAUAAGGGUUCUUCUAUCUCCCCUCUACACUUCCUCUGCAGCAGAAAAGAGUAUCUUGGCCAUGCAGGGAACACUCUUCUCUCACCCUCGCCACUGGGGUUAAGGGCAGCUGUAUUACUAAUAGCUCCAAGUCUUGGUUGCCCCCAGAGAGAGGCAGAGAUGUAGCCUGCCCAAAUCUGGCCACUUGAAGACUCUCCAAACACCUAGAGGAGCUCUGGAUUCAAGUGAAGCAAGCAUCUGAUGCCACCAUGGUCCCUCCUUCCCUUUGCCUUCCCUUCUUCCCACAAAAGAGAAGCCCAAAUCCACCACCAGACCAGCCCAUCUACCCGUGGAAACCAAUGGAACCAAAUACAUCGUACUGGGUUGCAGGCCUUAAUCUAGCUCUUGCUGAAUUAUUCAGGGAUGGCAUUAACUUAUAAAUGAGUGUGUUUGACUGAUUUUGUGGUUGAUGUACAGAUAAAUUCUAAUGAAAGACA